Molecule: unclassified non-coding RNA, 425 nt
Filed under: Hevea brasiliensis (rubber tree)
Lineage: Eukaryota; Viridiplantae; Streptophyta; Magnoliopsida; Malpighiales; Euphorbiaceae
Source: RNAcentral
CGACAACUUAGAGAUCCCAGACUUGAAUUUCCCACCAAUCUCGGCGAAGUCGCUACGAAUUCCCGCAAUCAAAUCCUCAUUGGAUUCCUCCGGAUCGGGCAACUGGUGUGGUUGGGGAUUAUCGCCUGGUCCAUCGGAGAUCUUACUAGACGGAAAGGAAGGGGAGGAGGGUUCAGGUGCAGGAGCGAGGAAAGAGGCGACGCCCCAGAAUUGGCGGGUUAAAGUUUUAGUGAGCUCGGAGAGGUCUUCCUUGACGCCACGUGGAGUGGUGGCGGAGGCUGUGGAUGAAGGAGAUGUUGGUGACGAUGAUUUGGAGUGAUGAUCAGAUUGAGGAAUUGGGGGUGAUUUUGAUUCGGUGACAUUAGGAUUAGGAGAACGGUCGUCGUCGUCGUCGUCGAGCUUGAGAGAGUUAGCAAUUGCCCUCG